RNAcentral lists this ribosomal RNA (400 nucleotides) under uncultured bacterium. Its description in RNAcentral is "bacterial SSU rRNA". It matches the Rfam family "Bacterial small subunit ribosomal RNA", at positions 355 to 747 of the family's 1533-position model. The record is from RNAcentral.
UGGGGAAUAUUGCACAAUGGGGGAAACCCUGAUGCAGCCAUGCCGCGUGUAUGAAGAAGGCCUUCGGGUUGUAAAGUACUUUCAGCGGGGAGGAAGGGUGUGGGUUUAAUAUACCGGCACAUUGACGUUACCCGCAGAAGAAGCACCGGCUAACUCCGUGCCAGCAGCCGCGGUAAUACGGAGGGUGCAAGCGUUAAUCGGAAUUACUGGGCGUAAAGCGCACGCAGGCGGUCUGUUAAGUCAGAUGUGAAAUCCCCGGGCUCAACCCGGGAACAGCAUUUGAAACUGGCAGGCUGGAGUCUCGUAGAGGGGGGUAGAAUUCCAGGUGUAGCGGUGAAAUGCGUAGAGAUCUGGAGGAAUACCGGUGGCGAAGGCGGCCCCCUGGACGAAGACUGACGCU